UGGUGCUGGAGGAAGAUGCUACGAAUC
RNAcentral lists this small RNA (27 nucleotides) under Bombyx mori (domestic silkworm). Its description in RNAcentral is "ovarian small RNA-35183". The record is from RNAcentral. Lineage: Eukaryota; Metazoa; Arthropoda; Insecta; Lepidoptera; Bombycidae.